GGGGGUAAAGCUCAAUGGUAAAGUGCUUACCUGGUGUGCAUGAGGCCCUGGGUUCGACUCCCAGCACCGCAA
This 72-nucleotide transfer RNA is filed under the name Ictidomys tridecemlineatus (thirteen-lined ground squirrel). RNAcentral describes it as "Spermophilus tridecemlineatus (thirteen-lined ground squirrel) tRNA". It matches the Rfam family "tRNA". From Rfam's summary of the family: Transfer RNA (tRNA) molecules are approximately 80 nucleotides in length. Their secondary structure includes four short double-helical elements and three loops (D, anti-codon, and T loops). The record is from Rfam by way of RNAcentral. Lineage: Eukaryota; Metazoa; Chordata; Mammalia; Rodentia; Sciuridae.